RNAcentral lists this transfer RNA (73 nucleotides) under Ixodes scapularis (black-legged tick). RNAcentral describes it as "tRNA-Pro for anticodon GGG". The record is from RNAcentral. Lineage: Eukaryota; Metazoa; Arthropoda; Arachnida; Ixodida; Ixodidae.
UCCUGGUUAGCUCGUAUGGUAGAGCGCUCCACAGGGAAUGGAGUGGUUCCUGGUUCGAUACCAGGACAAGGCG